Pteronotus mesoamericanus is the source of this 128-nucleotide small nucleolar RNA. RefSeq annotates it as small nucleolar RNA SNORA11. The transcript has a single exon. The record is from RefSeq and is a predicted model, not a curated record. Lineage: Eukaryota; Metazoa; Chordata; Mammalia; Chiroptera; Mormoopidae.
GGGGUGUGCUCAGAGCAGGGAGCCCGAAGAAAUGGCCCCCCGUUUACAACACACCCAACAGGAAUGUGGGGCCAUUGUCCCGGGGGCACAGAGCCCAUGCCCCUUCUAUGAACAGGUGCCCUACACAU